This 468-nucleotide ribosomal RNA is filed under the name uncultured bacterium. Its description in RNAcentral is "partial 16S ribosomal RNA". It matches the Rfam family "Bacterial small subunit ribosomal RNA", at positions 28 to 507 of the family's 1533-position model. The record is from RNAcentral.
GACGAACGCUGGCGGCGUGCUUAACACAUGCAAGUCGAACGGAAAGGCCCUGCUUUUGUGGGGUGCUCGAGUGGCGAACGGGUGAGUAACACGUGAGUAACCUGCCCUUGACUUUGGGAUAACUUCAGGAAACUGGGGCUAAUACCGGAUAGGAGCUCCUGCUGCAUGGUGGGGGUUGGAAAGUUUCGGCGGUUGGGGAUGGACUCGCGGCUUAUCAGCUUGUUGGUGGGGUAGUGGCUUACCAAGGCUUUGACGGGUAGCCGGCCUGAGAGGGUGACCGGCCACAUUGGGACUGAGAUAAAGCCCAGAAUGCUACGGGAGGCAGCAGUGGGGAAUAUUGGACGAUGGGCGGAGGCAUGAUGAAGGAACGCAGCGUGCGGGAUGAAGGCAUUCGGGUUGUAAACAGCUCUCGCCUGUGACGAAGCGUGAGUGACGGUGAUGGGUAAAGAAGCACCGGCUCACUACGUG